GGAAGGAUCAUUAUCGAUUGUGAAUCGUUGCCUUCAGUGCUGGCCAGCUUGGCAAGUGCACGUUGGUGACUUUCAUCCAAAUACCUGUGAACCUUUGCCUUUUGCUUGCUUCGGCUGGCGGGGGAAUUUUUACACACACACGAAUGUAAUGAUAUUUAAUUGUCGUGCGCAAGCACAAAUGUACAACUUUCAACAACGGAUCUCUUGGCUCUCGCAUCGAUGAAGAACGCAGCGAAAUGCGAUAAGUAAUGUGAAUUGCAGAAUUCAGUGAAUCAUCGAAUCUUUGAACGCACCUUGCACCCUUUGGCAUUCCGAAGGGUAUGCUCGUUUGAGUGUCAUUGUACUCUCACACUUCCAAUCUUUGGUUGGGAGCGGUGGACUUGGGUGUUGCCGCUUCACCGUGGCUCACCUCAAAUGGAUUAGUGCAACUCCUAGUUGGGCACAGUACGGCGUGAUAAGUGUCUUCGCCGGCACCUCACUAGAGGGUGGUCAAUUGGGAGCGCUGUGCUGCAAACCGUCUUUGGACAAUAGCUGACAACUUGACCUCAAAUCGAGUAGGACUACCCGCUGAACUUAAGCAUAUCAAUAAGCGGAGGAAAAGAAACUAACAAGGAUUCCCCUAGUAACGGCGAGUGAAGAGGGAAGAGCUCAAAUUUUGAAUCUGGCGUCUUUGGCGUCCGAAUUGUAAUCUAGAGAAGUGUUUUCCGUGGCGGACCGUGCAUAAGUCUCCUGGAAUGGGGCGUCAUAGAGGGUGAGAAUCCCGUUUAUGGCACGGACUCCCGUUGCUCUGUGAUACACUCUCGACGAGUCGAGUUGUUUGGGAAUGCAGCUCCAAAUGGGUGGUAAAUGCCAUCUAAAGCUAAAUAUUGGCGAGAGACCGAUAGCGAACAAGUACCGUGAGGGAAAGAUGAAAAGCACUUUGGAAAGAGAGUGAAACAGUACGUGAAAUUGUUGAAAGGGAAACGCUUGGAGUCAGUCGCGCCGUUCGGGAUUCAGCCUUGCUUCUGCUCGGUUUACUUCCCGUUGGGUGGGUCAACAUCAGUUUCAGUCGGAGGAGAAAGGCCUGGGGAAGGUGGCAGCAUUCGUGCUGUGUUAUAGCCCCUUGUUGUAUACUUCGAUUGGGACUGAGGACCGCAGCACGCCUUUGGCCGGGGUUCGCCCACGUACGUGCUUAGGAUGUUGGCAUAAUGGCUUUAAGCGACCCGUCUUGAAACACGGACCAAGGAGUCUAACAUGCCUGCGAGUGUUUGGGUGUUAAACUCGGACGCGAAAUGAAAGUGAAAAGUUGGGAACACUUAUGUGUGCACCGACGCCCGGAGCUGACCUUCUGUGACGCAUCUGCGGUAGAGCGUAUAUGUUGGGACCCGAAAGAUGGUGAACUAUGCCUGAAUAGGGUGAAGCCAGAGGAAACUCUGGUGGAGGCUCGUAGCGAUUCUGACGUGCAAAUCGAUCGUCAAAUUUGGGUAUAGGGGCGAAAGACUAAUCGAACCAUCUAGUAGCUGGUUCCUGC
Molecule: unclassified non-coding RNA, 1510 nt
Filed under: uncultured Sebacinales
Lineage: Eukaryota; Fungi; Basidiomycota; Agaricomycetes; Sebacinales
Description: sequence contains 18S rRNA gene, ITS1, 5.8S rRNA gene, ITS2, 28S rRNA gene
Rfam family: Eukaryotic large subunit ribosomal RNA (bases 541-1510)
Source: RNAcentral